Molecule: ribosomal RNA, 1065 nt
Filed under: Salmonella enterica subsp. enterica serovar Bovismorbificans
Lineage: Bacteria; Pseudomonadati; Pseudomonadota; Gammaproteobacteria; Enterobacterales; Enterobacteriaceae
Description: partial 23S ribosomal RNA
Rfam family: Bacterial large subunit ribosomal RNA
Source: RNAcentral
GUGAUAUGAACCGUUAUAACCGGCGAUACCCGAAUGGGGAAACCCAGUGUGACUCGUCACACUAUCAUUAACUGAAUCCAUAGGUUAAUGAGGCGAACCGGGGGAACUGAAACAUCUAAGUACCCCGAGGAAAAGAAAUCAACCGAGAUUCCCCCAGUAGCGGCGAGCGAACGGGGAGGAGCCCAGAGCCUGAAUCAGCAUGUGUGUUAGUGGAAGCGUCUGGAAAGGCGCGCGAUACAGGGUGACAGCCCCGUACACAAAAGCGCAUGUGCUGUGAGCUCGAUGAGUAGGGCGGGACACGUGGUAUCCUGUCUGAAUAUGGGGGGACCAUCCUCCAAGGCUAAAUACUCCUGACUGACCGAUAGUGAACCAGUACCGUGAGGGAAAGGCGAAAAGAACCCCGGCGAGGGGAGUGAAAAAGAACCUGAAACCGUGUACGUACAAGCAGUGGGAGCACAGGUUUACCUGUGUGACUGCGUACCUUUUGUAUAAUGGGUCAGCGACUUAUAUUCUGUAGCAAGGUUAACCGUAUAGGGGAGCCGUAGGGAAACCGAGUCUUAACCGGGCGUUAAGUUGCAGGGUAUAGACCCGAAACCCGGUGAUCUAGCCAUGGGCAGGUUGAAGGUUGGGUAACACUAACUGGAGGACCGAACCGACUAAUGUUGAAAAAUUAGCGGAUGACCUGUGGCUGGGGGUGAAAGGCCAAUCAAACCGGGAGAUAGCUGGUUCUCCCCGAAAGCUAUUUAGGUAGCGCCUCGUGAAUUCAUCUCCGGGGGUAGAGCACUGUUUCGGCUAGGGGGCCAUCCCGGCUUACCAACCCGAUGCAAACUGCGAAUACCGGAGAAUGUUAUCACGGGAGACACACGGCGGGUGCUAACGUCCGUCGUGAAGAGGGAAACAACCCAGACCGCCAGCUAAGGUCCCAAAGUCAUGGUUAAGUGGGAAACGAUGUGGGAAGGCCCAGACAGCCAGGAUGUUGGCUUAGAAGCAGCCAUCAUUUAAAGAAAGCGUAAUAGCUCACUGGUCGAGUCGGCCUGCGCGGAAGAUGUAACGGGGCUAAACCAU